Molecule: long non-coding RNA, 268 nt
Filed under: Phoenix dactylifera (date palm)
Lineage: Eukaryota; Viridiplantae; Streptophyta; Magnoliopsida; Arecales; Arecaceae
Description: long non-coding RNA (PDAC_LNC016669)
Source: RNAcentral
AAACCUCGGAGACACCCUGCGCUCACCGAGAGUGCGGGCAUUCCUUGCCAGCCAGAUCUGAAGUGCUGUGCAAGUAGCUCUAAUGCCCUCCUCACGGGUCCGUAAACUGGCUAACCACUGUCGUAUCACCCGGAGAAACUGAAGCCGCUCACUCCGGGCCUCCUGCGGGAUCCCUGCCCACUGCCAUGUCGACCUCGCCCAUGUGCACUGGAAGAUAACGUGGUCCACUGACUCCGCAGCUCCACACGUCCCGCACUCAGCCCGGGAC